UGUGGCUGGCUACGUGUGGGGAUGCUGCGGAUUGCUGCGCCUUGCCAGUAAAAUCCACCACAAAACCUGGACUGGAGUCGAGUCUGCAGCUCAGGACCAGGACCAGAGCCACAGAUGGUCCUUUGCACAUGUUUUCUUCCCAUUGGUCCGGGGUCUCAGGCUGACAGUGCUGCAGCCCUGCAGGUACAACAUAUAAGGGCGCUCUCUGCCUGCACCAGGUUCCACCUCAGGCCCUGCACACUGAAGAGAGUAAACCUACACAGCACAAGAAGAGGAGCAUCUCUCCAUGAAUGCUGCACACCUUCAGUCACUGCAGGACAGGACAUGGCAUGCCCUAAAAUUGGAAAAUAAGUGUCAACAUAAUAGACUUUGAUGAAGUCUGGCAACAAACAGAACCACAAAUACAUGUCCUGCAUCAUCACGUGUACGCUGCACACCUGCCACUUUCAUCAGAUGGACAGAAUUCACAUCAUCCCAGCAAAUACUGUUUUAUGUGACAGGAGAGACAUUAUCAAUGUUUUUUUUUUUGGUCCUGGGUUAGCACCACAAGUCAAGUGCCAUCUUGUUUGAUUAUAUUUGUGAGAAGGCAGACAUCUCUACGGCCAAUAUCUCCAACACUCGGCAACUCACAUCAAACUACAGUGCCCCAAACUACAUCAGGGAACUUGUCUAGGAUGUUUCAGAGGCACUUGUCCAAGACUCCAUUUAUUGAUACCUCCAGUCCUUUUCUUCCUCUGUACUGACAAGACAAGUUGCUGCUUCUCUGAGUCUUGGAGAGAUGCUCAAGCAAGACCAAGAUGGUGCCAAUCUGCAGAGUGGGACUGUCUCUUGAAACUGGCUGUCCUUUUGCGGUCAAAAAGCCUUGGCUA
Epinephelus fuscoguttatus (brown-marbled grouper) is the source of this 869-nucleotide long non-coding RNA. RefSeq lists it as uncharacterized. The transcript has 8 exons. NCBI's taxonomy places the organism in Eukaryota, Metazoa, Chordata, Actinopteri, Perciformes, Serranidae. The record is from RefSeq and is a predicted model, not a curated record.